GAUGAACGCUGGCGGCGUGCCUAAUACAUGCAAGUCGAGCGAACGGACGAGAAGCUUGCUUUUCUGAUGUUAGCGGCGGACGGGUGAGUAACACGUGGAUAACCUACCUAUAAGACUGGGAUAACUUCGGGAAACCGGAGCUAAUACCGGAUAAUAUUUUGAACCGCAUGGUUCAAAAGUGAAAGACGGUCUUGCUGUCACUUAUAGAUGGAUCCGCGCUGCAUUAGCUAGUUGGUAAGGUAACGGCUUACCAAGGCAACGAUGCAUAGCCGACCUGAGAGGGGGGGCGGCCAGCAUGGAGCGUGGCCCGGGACGAAGCCACUGCGGGAGGCGCCAGUGGGGAGGCGUGGGCACUGGUUGUAGGCUUGACGGAGUAUGUUCGGAGGGAUGAUGAUGGUUUUCAGAUCCUAAAACUAUUUUAAAAGUACAAAACAAAUGUGCAAGGACCUGUGAACAUCUUGACGGUACGUAAACAGAAAGCAACGCCUAACUUCGUG
RNAcentral lists this ribosomal RNA (497 nucleotides) under uncultured bacterium. RNAcentral's name for it is "partial 16S ribosomal RNA". It matches the Rfam family "Bacterial small subunit ribosomal RNA", at positions 28 to 507 of the family's 1533-position model. The record is from RNAcentral.